This 322-nucleotide unclassified non-coding RNA is filed under the name Hevea brasiliensis (rubber tree). Lineage: Eukaryota; Viridiplantae; Streptophyta; Magnoliopsida; Malpighiales; Euphorbiaceae. The record is from RNAcentral.
GUUUUUCUGUGCAGAUAUGGUUGGAGGUGAGACAGCGAAAGAAGCUCGGAGGCUGAAUAGGGAGAUCAGCAGGAAGGUACUUGAAAUUAAACGUGCUAAGGCCUGGAAGAGAGCCCGAAUUGAAGAGACAAACCCCGAGGCUCAAAUCCAAAGAGAAAUGAUCCCAGAAGUGCAGAUCCUCAGUACAAAACCUCCCCGAUCAGAACCUCCUCAACCCCCAAUUUCUUCGGCUACAGAGGGCGGAUCCUUAGGGUAAGGAGCCUCAUCUGGGUGACCUCUCUCGCAAGAUGCUAGAAUACUACUCCAAUCACUGGAGAAAAAC